Molecule: non-coding RNA, 87 nt
Organism: Gossypium raimondii (Peruvian cotton)
Lineage: Eukaryota; Viridiplantae; Streptophyta; Magnoliopsida; Malvales; Malvaceae
Source: Rfam
CACGUCAGCGCGAUUUGCUGACGUGGCAACAAAUCGUGUCCACAAGGGGGCGAUUUGUUGCCACAUCAGCAAAUCACGCUGACGUGG